GCUUGCACCUUUCAAUGCGAGUGGCGAACGGGUGAGUAACACGUGGGAUAACCUGCCUCAAGGCUGGGGAUAACAUUUGGAAACAGAUGCUAAUACCGAAUAAAACUUAGUAUCGCAUGAUACAAAGUUGAAAGGCGCUACGGCGUCACCUAGAGAUGGGUCCGCGGUGCAUUAGUUAGUUGGUGGGGUAAAGGCCUACCAAGACAAUGAUGCAUAGCCGAGUUGAGAGACUGAUCGGCCACAUUGGGACUGAGACACGGCCCAAACUCCUACGGGAGGCUGCAGUAGGGAAUCUUCCACAAUGGGCGAAAGCCUGAUGGAGCAACGCCGCGUGUGUGAUGAAGGCUUUAGGGUCGUAAAGCACUGUUGUAUGGGAAGAAAUGCUAGAAUAGGGAAUGAUUCUAGUUCGACGGUACCAUACCAGAAAGGGACGGCUAAAUACGUGCCAGCAGCCGCGGUAAUACGUAUGUCCCGAGCGUUAUCCGGAUUUAUUGGGCGUAAAGCGAGCGCAGACGGUUGAUUAAGUCUGAUGUGAAAGCCCGGAGCUCAACUCCGGAAUGGAAUUGGAAACUGGUUAACUUGAGUGUUGUAGAGGUAAGUGGAAUUUCAUGUGU
RNAcentral lists this ribosomal RNA (614 nucleotides) under Leuconostoc lactis. RNAcentral describes it as "bacterial SSU rRNA". It matches the Rfam family "Bacterial small subunit ribosomal RNA", at positions 78 to 676 of the family's 1533-position model. The record is from RNAcentral. Lineage: Bacteria; Bacillati; Bacillota; Bacilli; Lactobacillales; Lactobacillaceae.